RNAcentral lists this unclassified non-coding RNA (225 nucleotides) under plant metagenome. RNAcentral describes it as "partial contains small subunit ribosomal RNA, internal transcribed spacer 1, and 5.8S ribosomal RNA". The record is from RNAcentral.
UCUCCGUUGGUGAACCAGCGGAGGGAUCAUUACAGGACUCGCAAGACUCCUACAACCCUGUGAACUUAACUAUAAGCACGUUGCUUCGGCGGGUGUCUCGGGGGGGGUUCUCCCUCCCCGAGACGCUAAACCCGCCGGCAGCCUACUAUACUCUGUCUCUUUGCGUUGGCAUCUCGGGUACAAUCAAACAAGUUAAAACUUUCAACAACGGAUCUCUUGGUUCUG